Molecule: ribosomal RNA, 349 nt
Filed under: uncultured bacterium
Lineage: Bacteria
Description: bacterial SSU rRNA
Rfam family: Bacterial small subunit ribosomal RNA
Source: RNAcentral
AGAGUUUGAUCAUGGCUCAGGAUGAACGCUAGCUACAGGCUUAACACAUGCAAGUCGAGGGGCGGGCAUGUUGGUUGCUUGCAACCAAUGAUGGCGACCGGCGCACGGGUGAGUAACGCGUAUCCAACCUACCCUUGUCCAUCGGAUAACCCGUCGAAAGGCGGCCUAACACGAUAUGCGGUUCUCAGCAGGCAUCUAACGAGAACGAAAUGUGAAGGAGAAGGAUGGGGAGUGCGUCUGAUUAGCUUGUUGGCGGGGUAACGGCCACCAAGGCGACGAUCAGUAGGGGUUCUGAGAGGAGGUCCCCCACAUUGGAACUGAGACACGGUCCAAACUCCUACGGGAGGCA